UACGUAGGGUGCAAGCGUUGUCCGGAAUUAUUGGGCGUAAAGAGCUCGUAGGCGGUUUGUCGCGUCUGCUGUGAAAACUGGAGGCUCAACCUCCAGCCUGCAGUGGAUACGGGCAAGCUAGAGUGCGGUAGGGGAGAUUGGAAUUCCUGGUGUAGCGGUGGAAUGCGCAGAUAUCAGGAGGAACACCGAUGGCGAAGGCAGAUCUCUGGGCCGUAACUGACGCUGAGGAGCGAAAGCAUGGGGAGCGAACAGG
This 253-nucleotide ribosomal RNA is filed under the name uncultured bacterium. RNAcentral describes it as "partial 16S ribosomal RNA". It matches the Rfam family "Bacterial small subunit ribosomal RNA", at positions 524 to 776 of the family's 1533-position model. The record is from RNAcentral.